This is a long non-coding RNA of Clupea harengus (Atlantic herring), 1490 nucleotides long. The record is from Ensembl. NCBI's taxonomy places the organism in Eukaryota, Metazoa, Chordata, Actinopteri, Clupeiformes, Clupeidae.
GAGUAGCUGACUGAAUAGCUAGAUACAAGGUCAAACUGCUGCUGAGGCAUGGCAGAACGUGACUAUUAUUAUCUCUUUUAUUAACUGUUUGCUUCUUGUUUUUGACAACCGUAUUUUCAAGAAUUUCCUCAAUUAAGGACUUGUUAAUGGAUAACAACUGGCUGAUGGGGUUUAAAUAGGUCUGAAAGCUAAGCCAUACAACACUUCAGCAUUUUUUCAGAGAAACACAAGUCUCCAACGCCUAUCAAAAGAAGCAGACCAUGUCAAGAAUGGGGACACUUUUCCUGACGAUCUUCCUUGGUGUGUCAGGAUUCACAGUUGUGGCGCUACCUCAAGGUAAACAAUGACAAACUGUGAUUGUUUAUUUGUUAAACUGUGAUAUGGUUAUCACACUGUCUGUCACGAUAACAAACAAAUCAUUAUUUUAUCAAAUUUGUGUGACUGGUAUAGUACAAUUAUUGCAAAGUUGCAAAAAAAAAUAUAUAUGUUUGAGGAACCUUAAGAUCUGUCAAGCUCAAUGUCAUGUCAAGUUUAAGUUCCCCCUUCAGCUCUGCAGACAGUCAUGCUGUCUUGAGUAUCUCUUAGGCUGCGAUUGCAUUGCCUGGGAAAAGUGACCCAAUGUGGCACAGACCGAAGAUAUAUUAUGUAUAAACAGGAAGAAAGCACAUGGAAUCAGAUAUUCUUAGUUCCGUUUCGGGUGUCACUCGUGUGGAAAUAAAUCAGAUAUUAAUCGAAUACCUGCCAGUGCGACUGUCAUGGGAAUGAACAGAUCGGAUAUUCCCUGUCAUUCCAAUUCACACAUCAUUGAAAAUACGACAAUCUUAUACUGUUCAGCAUUUUAAUGACGUGUAACGUUACUUUCACAAGCCAUAAAGGGCUCUCCUUAUCUCCUCUUCUUUGCCUUAAAAUAGGACCAAUACUUUGCAGAUCGCUGAAGACGCUUAUUAAUUAGUUUGCAUCCAUUGCUGUGCCAGCCAGUUGUUUACUUUCGUUUCAGUAACCAAACUUGUACGCAUGUGGGUUGUUUCAAGUGUUAAGGAAGUGUAAACACAGGAAUCGGAUAUGGGUCAGUUUUAAAAGUAGAUGCAAAUAGGUGGUAAAAAAAAAUUGGAUCUAGGCAGUGAAACAUCAGACUCAUUGUCUGUCACUUAUCUAUUCUGUUAGUGAGUAAUGACACAUAAUAAAAACAGGACAAUGUCAAAUUAUGCUUUUUUAGCAUUUAUUAUUUUAUGUAAUACACAUGUAAAGCAGCAGUGAGGAGUUCUGGUCAAACACUAGCAAUCUAACUGCCUAACAGGCAUGCAGAAACCUCACUGUUAUGCCCUUGGGUGGUCCUAUGGGAAAAACAACACUCCCCCAUUCCACUGAAGUAAAACCCAACAAAUCCAUGCCAUAUGAUUUACCAGGUGCACCUCAUUGCGCAAUCAGAUGUGGCAUAGCUGGCCAGAGCUACACAGAGGACAGGAGAGGACAAACUGCACAAGGAACAC